AUAAAAUAAAACACCUACUAGAAAAAUUAUUCAAUGAGAUUUGAGUUUAAAAGAGUGUAGUCCUUUUAAAUGUAAAAUGUGCUAAAAUCCGAAUGACAUUUACAAAUGAAUUCUAAUGCAUGACUUCUUCUGGGGUCUGAAAGCUGCACUGUGAGAGGUCCCAUGGCAUACCUAUAAAGAAACAUCGCUCUCUACCUGCCAUAAUGAGGGUUUUCAUUCCCUUCAUGAAAAUAUUCCCUUUUACAAAUUGCCAGCCAGGCCGAAUUGGACCAUUUGUUCUAGCUCAGCUCUGCCUCUAUCAUUUUAGAUAACUCUAUCCAUAGCUAGAUCAUCAAUCUAAACAUUAGAUUAAUAGACAUUUGUGCUUUGUUACCUUUACAUAUCAGAGAACAGGACACAUUCCAAUGAUGUUGGAAAAACUAUUACUCACAACCUGUGCAAUCGUUUAGGGAAAAAAGCCUGAACGUGAAGAAACUGUACUGGCUUCAAGCUGCUCUGGGUAAGGGAGCUGUGUAUAGUAGUCUAGUUUCCUUAUAGCUCAUGCAACUUUCCCAUUCGUCAAAGCACAUACAUGGACACAUACCUGUGGACCCACACCCACACUCAAAACUCAUGUAAAAAUAGGGUGACAGAAAAUGAAUAAUUCCUCUUACCAGAUAAAGUCAAACAAUAAUUGACAGAAUCUCUCAGAACAGGAUGUUCAGCCAUGUGGAAGCCCAGCCACACUAAAAGGUAACUGCUCUGUGUUGCCCUUUAAAGUUUGGUACGUCACAAUCCCUUCAUGACAUCAGCCCUCCACAUCACCAGGGUGGACAUCUAAGGCUGAAGGUCUGGCCGCAGGUAAGAAGAGGAAAGGUCUCUUCCACUGCUGUGCCAGGCAGCAUGCAACCCAUUUGAGGGGCAAAGAGGCGAGGCGAGCCGGCGCGGGCAUUUAGCUCCGUGGUUCCGGCGCCGGCCUCGCAAGCGCAAGGGCCCGAGUUCGAGUCCCCGCGCGAAACAAGCCCGGGAAAAAAAAAAAAAAAAAAAAAAAAUGAAGGCGACCGUAAUUCUUCGUUUUUGGUUUUUCGGUUUCUGUUCUUUUGGGGUGUUUUUCCUUUUCUGCCGGGGAUCGACCU
This 1115-nucleotide long non-coding RNA is filed under the name Heterocephalus glaber (naked mole-rat). RNAcentral describes it as "lncRNA (ENSHGLG00100043885.1)". Lineage: Eukaryota; Metazoa; Chordata; Mammalia; Rodentia; Bathyergidae. The record is from RNAcentral.